Molecule: non-coding RNA, 101 nt
Filed under: Palpitomonas bilix
Lineage: Eukaryota
Source: RNAcentral
AAAGACAUGAGCAAAGAGAAGGGAGUAUGCAGCUGGUUAGUAACCUUUUCUUGUUCCUUUCAUUUUCAUUUUUUGUUAUUACCUUUUUCCUUUGCAUACUU